Manis javanica (Malayan pangolin) is the source of this 390-nucleotide non-coding RNA. The record is from RefSeq and is a predicted model, not a curated record. NCBI's taxonomy places the organism in Eukaryota, Metazoa, Chordata, Mammalia, Pholidota, Manidae.
AUUUUGCAGGACUGUUUAGGUGUCCAUAAUGUCACUAAACCAGUGUCUUCCCUUUGUAAUGGAAUUCAUUUUCUACUUCACCCAAAAGUCCUGUAUGAAAUCUGUGCAUUUGGCAUUCAAGAUCCCAAAAAUGAGGUGAAUGCUGCCGCCAGGGCCAUUCUGACGCACCUGCUGCAGGGACGAUUGGUGAUGACAGCGGUGACCUGGAACAAGUUUAUUGAGGCUCUCUGUCCUGUCAUUCCAGUCCUACAGGGCUAUGCUGACCCAGAAGACCCCCUGGGUAACUGCAUUCUCCACCUAAGCACAGUGGGUCCUGAGGCAGGUGAAGGGGUUCUCCCCAGCACCGCCCGGUUAAAGUCCGUGCUGCGGCUCCUGCUCGUGAAAAAGCUG